ACAGGUUGAUAUUCCUGUACCACCUAUAAUCGUUUUAAUCGAUGGGGGACGCAGUAGGAUAGGCGAAGCGUGCGAUUGGAUUGCACGUCUAAGCAGUAAGGCUGAGUAUUAGGCAAAUCCGGUACUCGUUAAGGCUGAGCUGUGAUGGGGAGAAGACAUUGUGUCUUCGAGUCGUUGAUUUCACACUGCCGAGAAAAGCCUCUAGAUAGAAAAUAGGUGCCCGUACCGCAAACCGACACAGGUAGUCAAGAUGAGAAUUCUAAGGUGAGCGAGCGAACUCUCGUUAAGGAACUCGGCAAAAUGACCCCGUAACUUCGGGAGAAGGGGUGCUCUUUAGGGUUAACGCCCAGAAGAGCCGCAGUGAAUAGGCCCAAGCGACUGUUUAUCAAAAACACAGGUCUCUGCUAAACCGUAAGGUGAUGUAUAGGGGCUGACGCCUGCCCGGUGCUGGAAGGUUAAGAGGAGUGGUUAGCUUCUGCGAAGCUACGAAUCGAAGCCCCAGUAAACGGCGGCCGUAACUAUAACGGUCCUAAGGUAGCGAAAUUCCUUGUCGGGUAAGUUCCGACCCGCACGAAAGGCGUAACGAUUUGGGCACUGUCUCAACGAGAGACUCGGUGAAAUCAUAGUACCUGUGAAGAUGCAGGUUACCCGCGACAGGACGGAAAGACCCCGUGGAGCUUUACUGUAGCCUGAUAUUGAAAUUCGGCACAGCUUGUACAGGAUAGGUAGGAGCCUUUGAAACGUGAGCGCUAGCUUACGUGGAGGCGCUGGUGGGAUACUACCCUAGCUGUGUUGGCUUUCUAACCCGCACCACUUAUCGUGGUGGGAGACAGUGUCAGGCGGGCAGUUUGACUGGGGCGGUCGCCUCCUAAAAGGUAACGGAGGCGCUCAAAGGUUCCCUCAGAAUGGUUGGAAAUCAUUCAUAGAGUGUAAAGGCAUAAGGGAGCUUGACUGCGAGACCUACAAGUCGAGCAGGGUCGAAAGACGGACUUAGUGAUCCGGUGGUUCCGCAUGGAAGGGCCAUCGCUCAACGGAUAAAAGCUACCCCGGGGAUAACAGGCUUAUCUCCCCCAAGAGUUCACAUCGACGGGGAGGUUUGGCACCUCGAUGUCGGCUCAUCGCAUCCUGGGGCUGUAGUCGGUCCCAAGGGUUGGGCUGUUCGCCCAUUAAAGCGGUACGCGAGCUGGGUUCAGAACGUCGUGAGACAGUUCGGUCCCUAUCCGUCGUGGGCGUAGGAAAUUUGAGAGGAGCUGUCCUUAGUACGAGAGGACCGGGAUGGACAUACCUCUGGUGUACCAGUUGUCGUGCCAACGGCAUAGCUGGGUAGCUAUGUGUGGACGGGAUAAGUGCUGAAAGCAUCUAAGCAUGAAGCCCCCCUCAAGAUGAGAUUUCCCAACUUCGGUUAUAAGAUCCCUCAAAGAUGAUGAGGUUAAUAGGUUCGAGGUGGAAGCAUGGUGACAUGUGGAGCUGACGAAUACUAAUCGAUCGAAGACUUAAUCA
This 1500-nucleotide ribosomal RNA is filed under the name Staphylococcus aureus subsp. aureus CIG1524. Its description in RNAcentral is "bacterial LSU rRNA". It matches the Rfam family "Bacterial large subunit ribosomal RNA", at positions 1422 to 2925 of the family's 2925-position model. Lineage: Bacteria; Bacillati; Bacillota; Bacilli; Caryophanales; Staphylococcaceae. The record is from RNAcentral.